AAGCACCAACGACUGUGAUGUUGUACAUGCAUUUGGACGGUCAGAUGGUGGGCCAAAUUUAGUUAAAAGCUUCCUUCUCUUCACAACUUCGUCUUCAUCUUCUUCAAAUCCAAAAUUCCAAUUAAACAAGUGAGUGAGAGGGGAGGUUGAGAGCAGAAAAUAGUAGAGAGAGAAAGAGUGUGUGUGUGUGUGUGACGCACCAGAAUAGAGUACACGUUGUGUGUGUAUAACAGAGAGAAGAAACUUUUUCUUCUCUCCGAGCUCUCAAAUUGUAGCAGCAAGCUCUAGAACCCAAAACUGUUGCUGCUGCUGCACCUGAAUGACACCUCUAUUCAGGAGCCACUAUGUUAUGGGUGUUGGUUCCUUAAUGGGACAUGUAGUUCGGUUGUCCUUAGGGACUCUGGGCAAUUUGAUAUUCAUGUUCUGGGGGCGACAUGGAGAGAUUUGAGAGAAUUGCAUUUGUAUUUUUAUCUGUAAUUGUAUAUUUGUGAGCAUUUGCACACCCACCCAUGACUCGUUAGUAUCCCAUUUGUGCUCUUUGAAAAUAUGUGUAAGCGAUUACCCGCGUAAAUUUGUAAUCAGUGGAAUUUAAAUUAAAAUAAUAAUUGUAGUAAAACUAUGUCAAAAAACGAGUUUGGUUUUGGGUGCGUGAGUUAUGUAAACCCAUCGAGUACAGUAUUGAGCGUCUUUGUAAUAGUUUAUAUGAUAUGAACAUUUGACUUGGAUAUGAAUAUUGGUUAUGGGAUUUGACUAUGGCAUUUGAUUUGAUGUGGUAAUUAAAUAGGAAACUCUUGUUUUUCAAGUAUGCAUCAAUGAAGGUUUUGAAACGUAUUUGUGUUGCAUUAUUUCAUUCUAUCUUACUAAGCAUUAGAACUCACCCAAAUCUAACC
Carica papaya (papaya) is the source of this 890-nucleotide long non-coding RNA. RefSeq lists it as uncharacterized. NCBI's taxonomy places the organism in Eukaryota, Viridiplantae, Streptophyta, Magnoliopsida, Brassicales, Caricaceae. The record is from RefSeq and is a predicted model, not a curated record.